RNAcentral lists this ribosomal RNA (177 nucleotides) under uncultured Clostridium sp. RNAcentral describes it as "partial 16S ribosomal RNA". It matches the Rfam family "Bacterial small subunit ribosomal RNA", at positions 288 to 449 of the family's 1533-position model. Lineage: Bacteria; Bacillati; Bacillota; Clostridia; Eubacteriales; Clostridiaceae. The record is from RNAcentral.
CGACCUGAGUGGGUGAUCGGCCACAUUGGGACUGAGACGCGGCCCAGACUCCUACGGGAGGCAGCAGUGGGGAAUAUUGCACAAUGGGGGAAACCCUGAUGCAGCAACGCAGCUGACGCAGCACGCCGCGUGAGUGAUGACGGUUUUCGGACCGUAAGCUCUGUCGACCGGGACGAA